Molecule: ribosomal RNA, 350 nt
Filed under: uncultured bacterium
Lineage: Bacteria
Description: bacterial SSU rRNA
Rfam family: Bacterial small subunit ribosomal RNA
Source: RNAcentral
UAAUACCGCAUACGAUCUAAGGAUGAAAUGGGGGGAGUCUUCGGACCUCAUGCUCAUGGAGUGGCCGGAUAUCUGAUUAGCUAGUUGGUGAGGUAAAGGCUCACCAAGGCGACGAUCAGUAGCUGGUUUGAGAGAACGACCAGCCACACUGGAACUGAGACACGGUCCAGACUCCUACGGGAGGCAGCAGUGGGGAAUUUUGGACAAUGGGGGCAACCCUGAUCCAGCAAUGCCGCGUGAGUGAAGAAGGCCUUCGGGUUGUAAAGCUCUUUUGUCAGGGAAGAAACGGUGAGUUCUAAUACAGCUUGCUAAUGACGGUACCUGAAGAAUAAGCACCGGCUAACUACGUG